AGUGAACGCUGGCGGCAGGCCUAACACAUGCAAGUCGAGCGGCAGCGCGGGGGCAACCCUGGCGGCGAGCGGCGGACGGGUGAGGAAUUCGUCGGAAUCUGCCUUUUUGUGGGGGAUAACGUAGGGAAACUUACGCUAAUACCGCAUACGUCCUACGGGAGAAAGUGGGGGACCGCAAGGCCUCACGCAGAAAGAUGAGCCGACGACCGAUUAGCUAGUUGGUGGGGUAAAGGCCCACCAAGGCGACGAUCGGGAGCUGGUCUGAGAGGAUGAUCAGCCACACUGGGACUGAGACACGGCCCAGACUCCUACGGGAGGCAGCAGUGGGGAAUAUUGGACAAUGGGCACAAGCCUGAUCCAGCCAUGCCGCGUGUGUGAAGAAGGCCUUCGGGUUGUAAAGCACUUUUGUCCGGAAAGAAAUCCCUGGAGCUAAUACCUUCGGGGGAUGACGGUACCGGAAGAAUAAGCACCGGCUAACUUCGUG
This 484-nucleotide ribosomal RNA is filed under the name uncultured bacterium. RNAcentral describes it as "partial 16S ribosomal RNA". It matches the Rfam family "Bacterial small subunit ribosomal RNA", at positions 29 to 507 of the family's 1533-position model. The record is from RNAcentral.